UUUGGACCUAAGGCAAGCCUUUAACUCGUCCUUCAAGAUCAUGCCUUCGACCUGCGACUGAUCCCUCUUGUCUCUUCGGAGCUUAAGCUCACUAUUUUUGCCCCAUAGAGCUCCUCGAAACUUGUUUCGGCCGUGUUCUUCCUUCCGGGUCCUCUUGGUUUCCCAUUCCAAGGCUUCGACGAUGGCCAUGUUGAUGUCCUUUGUAGAAG
RNAcentral lists this long non-coding RNA (209 nucleotides) under Glycine max (soybean). RNAcentral's name for it is "long non-coding RNA (GMAX_LNC004546)". Lineage: Eukaryota; Viridiplantae; Streptophyta; Magnoliopsida; Fabales; Fabaceae. The record is from RNAcentral.